This 490-nucleotide ribosomal RNA is filed under the name uncultured bacterium. Its description in RNAcentral is "partial 16S ribosomal RNA". It matches the Rfam family "Bacterial small subunit ribosomal RNA", at positions 28 to 507 of the family's 1533-position model. The record is from RNAcentral.
GAUGAACGCUCGCUACAGGCUUAACACAUGCAAGUCGCGGGGCAGCAUGGGGGUUGCUUGCCAUCCCCGAUGGCGACCGGCGCACGGGUGAGUAACGCGUAUCCAACCUGCCCUUCACCACGGGAUAACCCGGCGAAAGUCGGACUAAUACCGUAUGUUGUCCAUUGACGGCAUCCGAUUUGGACGAAAGGCUUGGCGGUGAGGGAUGGGGAUGCGUCCGAUUAGCCAGACGGCGGGGUAACGGCCCACCGUGGCUACGAUCGGUAGGGGUUCUGAGAGGAAGGUCCCCCACACUGGAACUGAGACACGGUCCAGACUCCUACGGGAGGCAGCAGUGAGGAAUAGUGGUCAAUGGGCGUAAGCCUGAACCAGCCAAGUAGCGUGCAGGAUGACGGCCCUAUGGGUUGUAAACUGCUUUUAUGCGGGGAUAAAGUGGCCCACGGGUGGGCUUUUGCAGGUACCGAAUGAAUAAGGACCGGCUAAUUCCGUG